AAUGGACGAAAGUCUGACGCAGCGACGCCGCGUGGGGGAUGAAGGUCUUCGGAUUGUAAACCCCUUUCGGGAGGGAAGAUGGAGUGGGUAACCACUUGGACGGUACCUCCAGAAGCAGCCACGGCUAACUUCGUGCCAGCAGCCGCGGUAAUACGGCGGGUGCAAGCGUUAAUCGGAAUCACUGGGCGUAAAGCGCACGUAGGCGGCACGUUAAGUCAGAUGUGCAACCCCUGGGCUCAACCUGGGAAUGGCAUUUGAUACUAGCGCGCUCGAGUCUGAUAGAGGGGGGUGGAAUUCCAGGUGUAGCGGUGAAAUGCGUAGAUAUCUGGAGGAACACCGGUGGCGAAGGCGGCCCCCUGGAUCAUGACUGACGCUGAGGUGCGAAAGCGUGGGUAGCAAA
RNAcentral lists this ribosomal RNA (400 nucleotides) under uncultured bacterium. RNAcentral describes it as "bacterial SSU rRNA". It matches the Rfam family "Bacterial small subunit ribosomal RNA", at positions 370 to 772 of the family's 1533-position model. The record is from RNAcentral.